Molecule: ribosomal RNA, 441 nt
Filed under: uncultured bacterium
Lineage: Bacteria
Description: partial 16S ribosomal RNA
Rfam family: Bacterial small subunit ribosomal RNA
Source: RNAcentral
CCUACGGGUGGCAGCAGUGGGGAAUAUUGCACAAUGGGGGAAACCCUGAUGCAGCGACGCCGCGUGAGUGAAGAAGUAUUUCGGUAUGUAAAGCUCUAUCAGCAGGGAAGAUAAUGACGGUACCUGACUAAGAAGCCCCGGCCAACUACGUGCCAGCAGCCGCGGUAAUACGUAGGGAGCAAGCGUUGUUCGGAAUGACUGGGCGUAAAGGGUGCGUAGGCGGUUGUACAAGUUAGAAGUGAAAUACCCAGGGCUUAACUCGGGUGCUGCUUCUAAAACUGUAUGACUUGAGUGCAGUAGAGGUUAGUGGAAUGCCUAGUGUAGCGGUGGAAUGCGUAGAGAUUAGAAGGAACACCAGAGGCGAAGGCAGCUAACUGAACUGCAACUGACGCUGAGGCACGAAAGUGUGGGGAGCAAACAGGAUUAGAUACCCUAGUAGUC